RNAcentral lists this long non-coding RNA (391 nucleotides) under Homo sapiens (human). RNAcentral describes it as "HSALNT0026142". Lineage: Eukaryota; Metazoa; Chordata; Mammalia; Primates; Hominidae. The record is from RNAcentral.
AUGGGCACCGCACUGCCGCCUUUAGUCCAGGAGGGAACCUGCCUGGGCUCCAUGUCCUCACUGGCCAAUGACCGUCAUGCUGCACCUCCAGGACCAGCUCUCACUGCACACCCUCCUGAGCAACAGAGGAGGUCUUCAGGUCACUGCCUCCGCCACAGUGAGACAGCAGGCUCAGCCACGCUGGACAUCAGGAAGCUCAGGAGAGCCUGCCCUGCCCUCAGCAAGUGCACCUGGACAUCUAGGAAACUGACAGCCCCCUGCAAAUCCACCUUCGGGCCUUGGCUCUAGGGGGUGACCCUUGCACGUCAGGGAAUCAUCAACCUAAUUGCCGUGUGCUUAUUUUACAUUGCACACCUGUACCAAAACAUCUCAUGUACCCCAUAAACAUAUA